GCACGCGAAGCCAAUUGGCCAGGCAGCAGCUUUACACGCUGUUUUUGGUAGGUUCGAUUCCUACCGCGUGCA
This 72-nucleotide transfer RNA is filed under the name Bacteroidota bacterium. RNAcentral's name for it is "Bacteroidetes bacterium (freshwater metagenome) tRNA-Val". It matches the Rfam family "tRNA". From Rfam's summary of the family: Transfer RNA (tRNA) molecules are approximately 80 nucleotides in length. Lineage: Bacteria; Pseudomonadati; Bacteroidota. The record is from RNAcentral.